Molecule: ribosomal RNA, 200 nt
Filed under: uncultured bacterium
Lineage: Bacteria
Description: partial 16S ribosomal RNA
Rfam family: Bacterial small subunit ribosomal RNA
Source: RNAcentral
AAUCAACGCUGGCGGCGUGCCUCAGACAUGCAAGUCGAACGAUUAAACUUUCCUUCGGGAAAGAUAUAAAGUGGCGCACGGGUGAGUAACACGUAAGUAAUCUACCUUCGAGUGGGGAAUAACGUUCGGAAACGAACGCUAAUACCGCAUAAUGCAGCGGCAUCGCAAGAUGACAAUUGUUAAGGGAUUUAUUCGCUUGA